Gossypium arboreum is the source of this 2730-nucleotide long non-coding RNA. RefSeq lists it as uncharacterized. NCBI's taxonomy places the organism in Eukaryota, Viridiplantae, Streptophyta, Magnoliopsida, Malvales, Malvaceae. The transcript has 3 exons. The record is from RefSeq and is a predicted model, not a curated record.
CUUGGUAAUUAAGUACUAAGUAUUCUAAUUAGUUACUACCUACCCAUUAUAUUACAAUCAAGCUGUAGCAGCAAGAAUGACACUUAAAGCAUUUUAUUCUCUCUUAUCUUUUCAAUCGUUAUCUUAACAUGGUAUUAAGACCUAGGUUCAAUUUUUUCUUGGUUCCUUACUUCUUUUCUUCAUCAUCUUCUUCAAUGGCACUCAAUCAAUCUUCUCUUGUCAUUGACUUUCAUCACCCUUUUUAUCUUUACCCUUUUGAUAUUCCUAGCACUCUACUGGUCUUUCAUCAGCUUCUUGGCUUUAAGAAUUACAAUAUAUGGAGUCGAUCAAUGAAAAUUGCUCUUCUUGCCAAAAACAAACUUGGAUUUGUUGAUAGCGCUUGCUCACUGGCUGAUCUUCCAGCUGAUCUUCAUCCGCAAUGGGACCGUUACAAUGUUAUUAUCCUCUCUUAGAUCCUUAACAGUGUUUGCCAAGAACUUUCAGUUGGUAUUGGUUUCGCUUCGAGUGUCUGCCUUGUUUGAAAGAAUCUUCAAGAAUGAUACAACAAAGUCAAUGGUCCAGAAUUUAUUAUCUCCAUUAUACUAUUUCUUCUCACAUUCAAGGACCUUUGCAGUGGACGGAUAUUGGGGAUUGGUAAAGAACAUGCUGAUCUCUACUACUUUCACCCACAUCAGUUCUCUUCCAGUCUUGUUUAUCCUCACAAAUCUGCCAAUAUUUCUUUGCCCCUUGUUACUUCUUUUAUGGCUUUACAUAAUGAUCCACAUGUAUGGCAUGCUCGCCUUGGUCACACCUCUGUUUCCAUAAUGAAAAAAAUUUGUUCAAUUAAAAUCUGUUUUACAUGAUCUUAAUGAAUUAUCUUCUUAUUCUAUUUGUCCACUAGCUAAACAAACUAAAUUGCCAUUUCCUCAUAGUCACACUCAAACUACUAAUGCUUUUGUUUUAAUUCAUAUUGACCUAUGGGACCCUAUAAAAUCUCAACUCAUAGUGGUCAUUGUUUUUUCCUCACUAUAGUUGAUGAUUUCACUUGAAUGACUUAGGUAUACCUUUUACGAACCAAGAGUGAUCACUCUUAAACAAUUUGUUGCCUUUGUAAAAACACAAUUUUCAGCUGAUAUCAAGGUUAUUCAGAGUGAUAAUGGUUCUGAAUUUUUUAACUCUACCUGCACACAUUUUUUCACCUCUCUUGGUAUUACCCGUCAAAGCUCAUGCGUCGAUACUCCACAACAAAAUGGGGUUGCUGAACGUAAACAUCGCCAUCUCCUUGAACUUGCUAGAGCCUUGAAAUUUCACUCACAUUUGCUUUCUAAAUUUUGGGACGAAUAUGUGCUAACAACUUGCUACAUUAUCAAUUGUUUACCUACCUCUGUUUUGUCUUGGAAAUCUCCUUAUGAAAGACUCCACAAAACUCCUCCAUCUCUCAAUCAUCUAAGGUUUUUUAGCUGCUUAUGUUAUGCCACCGUACCUCAUUAUCAUGAUAAGUUUUCCCCUAAAUCUAUUCCUUUCAUUUUUCUUGGUUAUUUUCUAGUUCAAAAUGGGUAUAUUCUCUUUGAUCUUCUUUCAAAGAAAUUUUUUGUUAAUCGCAAUGUCACAUUUCAUUAGACUACUUUUCCUUUUAAAAUUUUAUUUCCUGCUACUCUGAUGUUUCCCAUAAUUACUUUUGGCUCCAUAGAAGACUCACAUUUCUUUCCAACCCUCCAUACUUUAUCCCAUUACCUCAUCUGAUCUUUCUUCUUCCUCUUUCGCUUUGGAUCCUUUCUCAUUUCCACCUUUACAUCCAUCUCCUCCUCUUCGAAGAUCCACAAGAACCAUUACACGACCAUCUUGGCUACAAGACUUUGUAUGUUCUCCUCCAUCCUCUUCAUCCUCUUCACUUACGAUACAAGGUUCGUAUCCUCUUACUCUUUCUUAUGAUCAUUUACCUUUCUAUACAUAAUACUGCUACCACCAUAUCACACUUUGUUGAACCACAAUCCUAUUUUGAGGCUGUUAAACAUAAGUUUUGGAUAGAGGCUAUGCAACAGGAAAUACAAGCUUUGGAAUCCAAUGGCACUUGGGAAGUAGUCUCUUUACCUCCUGAGAAAACUUCCAUUAGUUGUAAAUGGGUGUAUAAGGUCAAAUAUCACUCUAUUGGCACAGUUGAAAGGUUCAAAGCUCGGCUAGUCGCCAAGGGCUAUAAUCAAAAGAAAGAGGGAUUUUGCAGCCAGGAGGAGAAUAGGGUCUGCAGAUUGCUUAAAUCUCUCUAUGGCUUGAAACAGGCUUCACGACGGUGGAAUUUGAAGUUAACUGAAACGUUGGUUUCACAUGGAUACAUUCAAUGUAACACGACUACUCCAUGUUUACAAAAAGUGUAGAAUCCAAACAAGUCAUCAUGUUAAUAUAUGUUGAUGAUAUGCUGAUUACAGGAAAUGCCAGUUGAUUGAUCAGUGAAUUAAAAGGUACACUGCACAAGAAUUUCAAGAUGAAGGACCUUGGGAGUUUAAAAUAUUUUCUUGGGAUUGAAAUAUCAAGGUCAGAUACAGGCAUUGUGCUAAAUCAGAGAAAAUAUGCUCUUGAAUUAAUUAAAGAUGUCGAUUUAAAAGGAGCAAAAUCAACAGUCACUCCAUUAGAGCAGAAUCAAAAGCUUACAACAGUAGAAUUUGAUGAAACAUUGCAGUUGAAAAAUGAUGAUGAAGUUUUAGCAGAUGUAACAAUUUAUCAAAGACUAAUUGAGAGAUUUUUAUACUUGACAAA